Non-coding RNA from Paramuricea clavata, 291 nucleotides. The record is from the annotation of a GenBank genome assembly. NCBI's taxonomy places the organism in Eukaryota, Metazoa, Cnidaria, Anthozoa, Malacalcyonacea, Plexauridae.
CGGGGGAACCCGGAUUCGCAUCUUGGUAUCUUUCUUCUUUUGACUAGCCAUGGACACGGUACGUACACUACUGAACUUUAUGGAAUAUGGAACUUUAUACAACACACAGCUUCGCCAUCCAAGGGAUUCCACCGCUUCAGAAAUUCAUAGAAGAUAUUAAUAUGUAUCACACGGCAGAAAAAUCGUUGUGUUAACAACAACUAAUACGAAAAACAACAGUUUAUUAGUUACAUGGAUCUAAUUUUCACAAUCCUUUGAUUUUUGUCAAUUGGCAGAUUUUUCUAAUUUCUA